Long non-coding RNA from Passer domesticus (house sparrow), 416 nucleotides. RefSeq lists it as uncharacterized. The record is from RefSeq and is a predicted model, not a curated record. The transcript is spliced from 3 exons. Lineage: Eukaryota; Metazoa; Chordata; Aves; Passeriformes; Passeridae.
CCUUCAGGUGAAUUUAAUCCCAAAUCAAAUUCCUGCUCCCUGCAACCAGCUGCACAAAAUUGAACCUGUAUAGAAGUCUUGUAGUAGCUGUAAUUUUUUGGUGGGGUGAGUUAUUUUGUUUAGGUGCUGUGAUUAGUAGCAAAUAUUUGGAGAUUUAUUUUUUGUGGUGGAGCAAUCUGAGCAACAAUCAUCUCUGGUUCAACAAGCAGAGCAGAGUCACAGCUGCAAGGACUGCCAGUGAGAGAGGGAAGAAGCCAGCCCACCCCCAGGCCAUGGUGCGUCAGUGCCGUGCAUCACCAGUGGCAGCAUCACCCACACACACGGAAUGAUGACGGCCCAACAGAGGGAAAAAAUAUUGACGGAGUAGUUCUUGCCCACACAAUUUGUUGUCUGGUUGUAAGAAUAAGAGCAUGUAU